GACGAACGCUGGCGGCGUGCUUAACACAUGCAAGUCGAACGAGAAAGCCCUUCGGGGUAAGUACAGUGGCGAACGGGUGAGUAACACGUGGGCAACCUGCCCCAGAGAGCGGGACAACCCGGGGAAACCCGGGCUAAUACCGCAUGAUGCGUCUCCACUUAAGUGGAGCCGCCAAAUGGUAGCUUCGGCCUCCGCUCUGGGAUGGGCCCGCGCCGGAUUAGCUAGUUGGUUGGGGUAACGGCCCACCAAGGCGACGAUCCGUAGCUGGUCUGAGAGGACGAUCAGCCACACUGGGACUGAGACACGGCCCAGACUCCUACGGGAGGCAGCAGUGGGGAAUCUUGCGCAAUGGGCGAAAGCCUGACGCAGCAACGCCGCGUGGGGGAAGAAGGCCUUCGGGUUGUAAACCUCUUUCAGUAGGGACGAAGCUUCCGGGGUUAAUAGCCUACGGGGUGACGGUACCUACAGAAGAAGCCCCGGCUAACCACGUGCCAGCCGCCGCAGUAA
This 507-nucleotide ribosomal RNA is filed under the name uncultured bacterium. RNAcentral describes it as "partial 16S ribosomal RNA". It matches the Rfam family "Bacterial small subunit ribosomal RNA", at positions 28 to 523 of the family's 1533-position model. The record is from RNAcentral.